Molecule: long non-coding RNA, 2791 nt
Organism: Dama dama (fallow deer)
Lineage: Eukaryota; Metazoa; Chordata; Mammalia; Artiodactyla; Cervidae
Exons: 3
Source: RefSeq, a predicted model, not a curated record
CACGUCCCAUGAAGCCCUGCAGUGUAAGCUUGAAGUGUCAUCAUUGAGACCGAUAAAGCCGUCUCGGGGCCAGUGGCGCAAUGGAUAACGCGUCUGACUACGGAUCAGAAGAUUCCAGGUUCGACUCCUGGCUGGCUCGGUAGGACGGAUGGCCUCUACCGUGUGGCAAGCAUGAUGCUGAACGGUUCCAGAGUACAUCAUGAGAAAAGCUGGGCUGGAAGAAGCACAGCUGGAGUCAAGAUUGCCGGGAGAAAUAUCAAUAACCUCAGAUAUGCAGAUGACACCACCCUUACGGCAGAAAGUGAAGAACUAAAGAGCUUCUUGAUGAAAGUGAAAGAGGAGAAUGAGAAAGUUGGCUUAAAGCUCAACAUUCAGAAAACUAAGAUCAUGGCAUCUGGUCCCAUCACUUUAUGGCAAAUAGAUUGGGAAACAGUGGAAACAGUGGCUGACUUUAUCUUUUGAGGCUCCAAAAUCACUGCAGAUGGUGACUGCAGCCAUGAAAUUAAAAGAUGCUUAAUCCUUGGAAGGAAAGUUGUGGCCAACCUAGACAGCAUAUUAAAAAGGAGAGACAUUACUUUGCCAACAAAGGUCCAUCUAGUCAAGGCUAUGGUUUUUCCAGUAGUCAUGUAUGGAUGUGAGAGUUGGACUAUAAAGCUGAGUGCUGAAGAAUUGGUGCUUUCGAACUGUGGUAUUGGAGAAGACUCUUCAGAGUCCCUUGGACUGCAAGGAGAACCAACCAGUCCAUCCUAAAGGAGAUCAGGCCUGGGUGUUCAUUGGAAGGACUGAUGCUGAAGCUGAAACUCCAAUACUUUGGCCACCAGAUGUGAAGAGCUGACUCAUUUGAAAAGUCAGUCAUUUUGAAAAAAACCCUGAUGCUGGGAAAGAUUGAGGGCAGGAGGAGAAGGGGAUGACAGAGGAUGAGAUGGUUGGAUGGCAUCACUGAUGCAACGGACAUGAGUUUGGGUAGGCUCCGGAGUUGGUGAUGGACAGGGUGGCCUGGCAUGCUGCAGUUCAUGGGGUUGCAAAGAGCUGGACACAACCGAGCAACUGAACUGAACUGAAUAAUCAAAUGUUAUGUAUGAAUCUUUCUUAGAACCUAGACCAAGAAAAAAACUAGAGAAAUCUGAAUAUGACCUGAAUAAUAACUAUUAUGAUAUUAUUGAUUUUUCCCUAGUUUUUGGCUGCAGUGCUCAAGAUCUUAAUUCCUAAACUAGGGAUGGAACCCAAGCCCCCUAUAAUGGAAGUGCAGCAUCUUAACCACUGGACCACUAUUUUAUUAGUUAUACAGGGAGUGCCCUUAUGUUUAGGAGUUGCUUGCUUAAGUGUUUACAGAAUGAAAUGUCAGAAUGUCUGCAACUAUUGUAAAAUGACUCAGGAAAAACAAAAGUCUACAUAACUCUAUCUAUAAAGAGAGAGUGGGCUUCCCUGGUAGCUCAGUUGAUAAAGAAUCCUGCGUGAAAUGCAGGUGACCCCGGUUCAAUCCCUGGGUGGGGAAGAUCCCCUGGAGAAGGAACCACAACCUACUCCAGCACUCUUGCCUGGAGAAUCCCAUGGACAGAGGAGCCUGGUGGGCUACAGUCCAUGGGGUUGCAAAAAGUUGGACACAACUUAGCAACUAAACCGCUGUAAAAAGAGAGGAGGGAGGAGACGAAAGAGAGAGAGAAAGAAAAGCAAAAUGUUAGUCAUUGUUGAAUAUAGGUUAAGAGUAUCCUGGUACCAUGAAAAGAUGCUCAAAAUGGCUAAUUAUUAGUGAAAUACAAAUCAAAACUACAAUGAGGUGUAAUCUCACAUGGUCAGAAUGGCCAUCAUCAAAAAAUCUACAAACAAUAAAUGGUGGAGAGGAUGUGGAGAAAAGGGAACCUUCUUGUGCUAUUGGUAGGAAUGUAGAUUGAUACCAGCCACUGUGGAGAAGAGUAUGGAAAUUCCUUUAAAAACUAAGAAUAGAGUUACCAUAUGAUCCAUCAAUCCCAUUCCUGUGCAUAUAUCUGGAAAAGAUGAAAACUCUAAUUAAAAAAGAUACACGUGGGACUUCCCUGGUGGUCCAGUGGCUAAGACUCCACAGUCCCAAUGCAGGGGGCCUGGGUUCGAUCCCUGGUGAGGGAAUUAGAUCCCAUGUGCCACAACUAAGAAUUCGAGGGCCGCAACUAAGAUUCAGUGCAGUCAAAUAAAUUUUAAAAAAAAGAAAAGAUACAUGUACCCCAGUGUUCAUAGGAGCUCUAUUUACAAUAGCCAACAUGUAGAAGCAAUGUAAAUGUCUAUCAACAGAUGAAUGAAUAAAGAUGUGACACAUAUAUAUAUACAUAUAAAUAUUACUCAGCCAUAAAAAAAUGAACGAAAAAUGACAUUUGUAGCAACAUGGAUGGACCUAGAGAUUAUUAUGCUAAGUGAAGUAAGUUGGAAAGAGAAAGACAAAUAUGAUAUCACUUAUUUGUGAAAUCUAAAACAGUGAUCCAAAUGAAUUUAUUUACAAAACAGAGACAGACUCAAAGAUGUAGAAAACAGUCAUAUGGUUAUCAAAGGGAAAGCGGGGGGAGAUAAAUUAGGAGUUUGGGAUUAACAGAUACACACUACUAUAUGUGUAAAAUAGAUAAAAAAACAAGGACCAACUGUAUAGAACAGGAAGGCUGAAUCACUUUUUGCUACACACUUGAAACUAACACAACAUUGUAAAUCAACUAUAACUUAAAAAUUGAGGAAAGAAACUUCCUUGGUGGUCCAGGUAAGACCCUGCAUUUCCAAUGGAGGGGGCACAGGUUCAAACUAAGAUCCCACAUGCCACGUGGAGCAACCA